UCCGUUAGGGAAUAGUGGAUCAGUCU
Molecule: non-coding RNA, 26 nt
Filed under: Mus musculus (house mouse)
Lineage: Eukaryota; Metazoa; Chordata; Mammalia; Rodentia; Muridae
Source: RNAcentral